GUGCCAGCAGCCGCGGUAAGACGUAGGACGCGAGCGUUAUCCGGAUUUACUGGGCGUAAAGCGUCUGUAGGCGGAUGUGUAAGUUGGGCGUGAAAGCUCCGGGCUUAACCCGGAGAGGCCGUUCAAUACUGCAUAACUUGAGGGUGUCAGAGGGGAGCGGAAUUCCCGGUGUAGCGGUAAAAUGCGCAGAGAUCGGGAGGAACACCAGUGGCGGAGGCGGUUCCCGGGGGCACACCUGACGCUGAGAGACGAAAGCUAGGGGAGCGAACAGGAUUAGAGACCCUGGUAGUCCUAGCCCUAAACGAUGAAUGCUAGGUGUGGGAUCGAAUGGUUCCGUGCCGGAGCGAACGCGAUAAGCAUUCCGCCUGGGGAGUACGGCCGCAAGGUUAAAACUCAAACGAAUUGACGGGGCCCCGCACAAGCAACGGAGCGUGUGGUUUAAUUCGAUGCUACACGAAGAACCUUACCUGGGUUUGACAUGUAGGUGGUAGUGAAUCGAAAGGUGAACGACCCUUCGGGGAGCCUACACAGGUGCUGCAUGGCUGUCGUCAGCUCGUGCCGUGAGGUGUCGGGUUAAGUCCCGUAACGAGCGCAACCCUUGCUCCUAGUUACAAGUGUCUAGGGGGACUGCCGGCGGAAAGCCGGAGGAAGGUGGGGAUGACGUCAAGUCAGCAUGGCCCUUAUAUCCAGGGCUACACACACGCUACAAUGGUCGGUACAAAGGGCAGCGAAACCGCGAGGCGGAGCGAAUCCGAGAAAAGCCGAUCGUAGUUCGGAUAGCAGGCUGCAACCCGCCUGC
This 799-nucleotide ribosomal RNA is filed under the name uncultured organism. RNAcentral describes it as "bacterial SSU rRNA". It matches the Rfam family "Bacterial small subunit ribosomal RNA", at positions 505 to 1319 of the family's 1533-position model. The record is from RNAcentral.